GCUCGUUACUUCUCUCUCCUCUCUUCUCUCUGUUUGUGUUUCAAUAAUGAAUUGAUUGUUGUAGCCACAACUAAGAAUCGCCAGAUCGUGCCACAGGCCCGGGUUUCCCCUCCCCUCUUCGCCCUCCUCCCCUUUUUCCCUCCCUUUCCGUACACACGCGCACACACACGCACACUCACACACAUACACACAUACACACACACACACGCGCGCGCGCGCGCACAUACACAGACACUACCCGGACGACCGGGACCAGAGUCUCUCCACAGCGGCCGCAGCGCGGCCCGGGCUCCGGGAGGAGACCAGCAGAGUCCCACCGCCGGCCGGGGACACCCUUUCCACAGGUAAUUUGAAAAGAGUCCAAAAUAACUUGUGACCAUUUGGAAGGAAGCAAGGAACAGUCUGAAGUAAGCAAUCCAGCUUGUAAACUGGGAAGAUUUAUAUUUUAUUUUAAACUUCUGAAUAUUUACAAUGAAUGGACACAGUGAUGAAGAAAGUGUUAGAAACAGUAGUGGAGAAUCCAGCCAGUCGGAUGAUGAUUCUGGAUCAGCUUCUGGAUCUGGUUCUGGAUCAAGCUCUGGAAGCAGUAGUGAUGGGAGCAGCAGUCAGUCAGGCAGCAGUGAUUCUGAUUCCGGGUCUGACUCAGGCAGUCACUCUGAUUCUGAGUCAGAUACUUCUAGAGAAAAGAAAGUACAAUCAAAACCACCAAAAGUUGAUAGCUCUGAGGUAAAAAACAAAACAUUCUAAUGUAUGUGUCUUAUAUUAUUGCAUUUUUUCCUUAGUUCAUUUU
Molecule: long non-coding RNA, 790 nt
Filed under: Vombatus ursinus (common wombat)
Lineage: Eukaryota; Metazoa; Chordata; Mammalia; Diprotodontia; Vombatidae
Description: lncRNA (ENSVURG00010005950.1)
Source: RNAcentral